RNAcentral lists this transfer RNA (77 nucleotides) under Candidatus Poribacteria bacterium. Its description in RNAcentral is "tRNA-Val". It matches the Rfam family "tRNA". From Rfam's summary of the family: Transfer RNA (tRNA) molecules are approximately 80 nucleotides in length. Their secondary structure includes four short double-helical elements and three loops (D, anti-codon, and T loops). Further hydrogen bonds mediate the characteristic L-shaped molecular structure. tRNAs have two regions of fundamental functional importance: the anti-codon, which is responsible for specific mRNA codon recognition, and the 3' end, to which the tRNAs corresponding amino acid is attached (by aminoacyl-tRNA synthetases). tRNAs cope with the degeneracy of the genetic code in two manners: having more than one tRNA (with a specific anti-codon) for a particular amino acid; and 'wobble' base-pairing, i.e. permitting non-standard base-pairing at the 3rd anti-codon position. The record is from RNAcentral. Lineage: Bacteria; Candidatus Poribacteria.
GGGCGGUUAGCUCAGCUGGCUAGAGCGUCUGCUUGACAUGCAGGAGGUCAGUGGUUCAAGUCCACUACCGCCCACCA